This 468-nucleotide ribosomal RNA is filed under the name uncultured bacterium. Its description in RNAcentral is "partial 16S ribosomal RNA". It matches the Rfam family "Bacterial small subunit ribosomal RNA", at positions 28 to 507 of the family's 1533-position model. The record is from RNAcentral.
GACGAACGCUGGCGGCGUGCUUAACACAUGCGAGUCGAACGGAAAGGCCCUGCUUUUGUGGUGUGCUCGAGUGGCUAACGUGUGAGUAACAAGUGAGUAACCUGCCCUUGACUUUGGGAUAACUUCAGGAAACUGGGGCUAAUACCGGAUAGGAGCUCCUGCUUCAUGGUGGGGGUUGGAAAGUUUCGGCGGUUGGGGAUGGACUCGCGGCUUAUCAGCUUGUUGGUGGGGUAGUGGCUUACCAAGGCUUUGACGGGUAGCCGGCCUGAGAGGGGGACCGGCCACAUUGGGACUGAGAUAAGGCCCAGACUCAUACGGGAGGCAGCAGUGGGGAAUAUUGCACAAUGGGCGGAAGCCUGAUGCAGCAACGCCGCGUGCGGGAUGACGGCCUGCGGGUUGUAAACCGCUUUCGCCUGUGACGAAGCGUGAGUGACGGUAAUGGGUAAAGAAGCACCGGCUAACUACGUG